Dreissena polymorpha is the source of this 3110-nucleotide RNA transcript. It is a transcript of the gene named angiopoietin-2-like, with no coding region annotated. Lineage: Eukaryota; Metazoa; Mollusca; Bivalvia; Myida; Dreissenidae. The record is from RefSeq and is a predicted model, not a curated record. The transcript has 5 exons.
GCUAGAGACACAUGCAGGGCAGUCAGUUUUCAAUAGCGUUUAAAAUAAGAGUACAGGAAUAGAAGCAUGUCUCUUCUUGUUUAUUUUCUUGGAUCGUUUGUUUUGCUUUUCCAAGGCGGACAAUGUGAAUUAACAUGGUACAAGAUGCUCUCUGCACGACUGGACGAUAUCGUGUUUGAUAUGAAGUCAAAAGAUAAUUCAAUAACAACACAGGUUCAGGAACUCAAGACUAUGGUGACUGCGACAAAUCAGCAGUUGGCCUCUUUUGAAAAGAGGCUCAGUGCGGUGGCUGAAUGCAAUGCAAAGUUGGUCGCUGUCGAGGAGAGAUUCGCUAAUAUAGACAACCGUUUGAAAGAUGUUGCAGCGGCGGAGGCAGGGCGACGGACGCAUCUGUUGAGACGAGGUCUUGAGCAGGAAAAGGCGGCAACGAUGACAAGAUUUGAUUGUCUCCAGAAGAAACAAGAGAAAAUCCUUUUGCGGAUGGAUGAUAUAGAAAAGUUUCAAGGUGCAAUAAUGACCCGGGCAGAUGAUAUGGAUACUCGAUUGAACGAAACGCGAAUUCAGAUAUCUAAUGUAGAAAAUGAAUUGUAUGUUACUGUUUAUAACACAAGUAACUUAUUUGAAAGUAUUGGCACUCUGGAAAAUAUGCAGGUAGCGAUGAAAGGGACUGAAGAAAAAAGCAGUGCGUUGGUAGCAGCGAUGGAACAGAAAGUCAAAUCUACGCAGCACAACGUUCAGAAACUCCAGUCGCAGGUUCAAACCCUCAUUGAUACGCAAGGGAGUCUUCAGUCUAAGACAAGGACUAUCGAAGCAAAGGUCGAUACGACACGCGCGGAUAUAUCUCGGCUGACUGAAGACAAAACGAGAGCGCUGAUAGCGGUCAUUGAAGAGCAAGUUAAAUCAACGCAGAAAAACUUUCACACACUCCAGUCUCAGGUUCAAUCCCUUGUGGGAACGCAAGCGGAUCUUAAAUCCAAGACAAUGAGUAUUGAAGCACAGGUCGAUACGACACGCGCGGAUAUAUCUCGGCUGACUGAAGACAAAACGAGAGCGCUGAUAGCGGUCAUUGAAGAGCAAGUUAAGUCAACGCAGAACAACUUUCACACACUCCAGUCUCAAGUUCAAACCCUUGUGGGAAUUCAAGCGGAUCUUCAGUCUAAGACAGGGACUAUCGAAGCACAGGUUGAUACGACACGCGAUGUUAUAUCUCGGCUUCAGCGUAUCGUACCAGUGGACGGACAAUGGGGUACAUGGACUUCUUGGUCUCUUUGCACACAUCACUGUAACCAGACACGGACUCGAGCUUGCAACAAUCCAGCACCGCUACAUUUCGGGAGUGAUUGCCCCGGUCUUACAACACAAACGCAAGAAUGUAACACAUAUCUAUGCGGAGGGAAAGAUUGCACCGAGCUUCUGAACAGAGGUGCCCCAAAGCUAAGUGGUGUCUACAACAUUACCACCCCUCUCUCUCACACCAAGAUACAGGUGAUGUGUGACAUGGAGACGGAUGGAGGAGGCUGGACGGUCUUAAAUACAUUUACGAGAUUACAACGCGUGGUUCCUACCAACUCCGUGUAGACAUUGUACGUUCGAACGGAAGCAAGGGAUACGAUGUGUACGGGGGCUUUAGUCUUUCGCCUGGAACGAACUACACACUGAACGUUGGGUCACGUGUACGGUCCGAUGGUCUUAUCAACACAUACCGCACAUACCGCUCAUUUAGUGAUGGAGACUCUUCAGGGACACCAGUCGGAAAUGCGUUCAGUACGUAUGAUCAUGACGUUGACCGUUGGUCGGGGGGCAACUGUGCAGCAGACUGGAGAGGGGGCUGGUGGUACAAUGCCUGCUAUGGCUUCAUCAAUCUGAAUGGACUUUACCGACCAAAACUAAAAAGUUCGCAAGCCAUGAUUUAUGACUCUACAGACGGUCUUGCUGCCAGCACCAUGAUGUUUAAAAGUGUGUCAUAACAAUGCCUCAUAUUUCAACUGUGUAUAUUAAUCAUUCACACCACCUAAUAAACCUUCUCAAUACGACCAUAACUUGUGCGCACAGAUCUUAAUGUCACAAACUAUACGUUGCAAUGUCUCUUAAGCUUGUUUAAAAUAAAGACACUAUAUAGCUGAUACUCGUUUGGGUUUCAAGUCAUAAUGAACUGAUUGCAAUGGUUAUUGUGUUCUGAUUUUAUAUAACCGUUUAGUAUUUAAAUAGUAAGGCAAUAGAAAUGCAAUGUCCUUAAUAGCUUAUCAAUUUGGUUUGUGAUGCUAUGAGGUUAAUACGUAUGUGGAUUUCAAUGUUAUAUGAAUACAUAUUGAUCAAUUGUGAAGUUUGGAACUCCUUAAAACCGGUUUAAACCAUCAGUGCUUUUGUAUUGAGCAUUCCAAGGCGGUGACCCCAGAGUUGUCCAUGAUAUUUGUGCUGUUGUAAUGAUAUGCGUAUCUUGUAUUGUACAUUUAUUUUUUAUCUCACUGUUUUGCAACUGAUUCCUCGCCAUAUAUAUACCCCAUUGUAUAAUAUAAGAUUUCUCUCCUUCCUGUGAAGCUGAAGUUUCAUUCUAUGUGUAUGACACCUGGCAAUAAAGUUAUUAACACGCUAUCAUAUCAAUUUGUGCUGUCUUCAAGGAUUCAUUAUCUCGACAUUUAUGACACUGAUUUAAUGACAUUUUGUUACAAGAAGAGCAACAUUUAACCUUAUAAAAUAUAUAUUCUCAAAUAUUCACUACCACAGGGUGGAGUUAUGAAAUAAUUACCGUGUGUUUAGCUUUCGGUUUUUCCGGAAAUGUUUCGAUAUAUAAUAUUGCUAUUGAUAAGAACAUAAGAUUACGAGUGUAUGUACGUUUGUACCAGGAUCUUUUAAAUUUUGAUAGAUACAUGUGUAGAUCACGAACAUCCAGUUUAAACGUAAAGUAUCGUACCUGAUUAGCCUGUGCAUUAUGCCCCGUUUUCACAGAUCGACACUCAUAUCGUUAAUCUAGCCAAUAAAUAGCGCCGAAAGAAGUACAUGUACUCUAAUCGAUAUUGUAUCAUGUUUUAUUGGAGAUAAUGCCAUAAACACUAAACAAGUAAGAUGCUUUGUAAGUAAACAAUGGACAUAAGAAUAAACUGACAAACAUG